GAUGAACGCUAGCGGCAGGCUUAACACAUGCAAGUCGAGGGGGCAGCAUAAUCAUAGUAAUAUGAUAGAUGGCGACCGGCGCACGGGUGCGUAACGCGUAUGCAACCUUCCCCUUUACAGGGGGAUAAUCCGAAGAAAUUUGGUCUAAUACCCCAUAACAUCAGCCGAGGCAUCUUGGUUGGUUGAAAUUUUCGGAGGUAAAGGAUGGGCAUGCGUAGCAUUAGUUAGUUGGUGAGGUAACGGCUCACCAAGGCGACGAUGCUUAGGGGGACUGAGAGGUUAACCCCCCACACUGGUACUGAGACACGGACCAGACUCCUACGGGAGGCAGCAGUGAGGAAUAUUGGUCAAUGGGCGGAAGCCUGAACCAGCCAUGCCGCGUGCAGGAAGACGGCUCUAUGAGUUGUAAACUGCUUUUGUACGAGGGUAAAGUGGGUCACGUGUGGCCUUUUGAAAGUAUCGUACGAAUAAGGAUCGGCUAACUCCGUGCCAGCAGCCGCGGUAAUACGGAGGAUCCGAGCGUUAUCCGGAUUUAUUGGGUUUAAAGGGUGCGCAGGCGGCGCGAUAAGUUAGAGGUGAAAGCUCGGUGCUUAACAUCGAAAUUGCCUCUGAUACUGUCGUGCUUGAGAUUGGUUGCGGAAGGCGGGAAUGUGUGGUGUAGCGGUGAAAUGCUUAGAUAUCACACAGAACCCCGAUUGCGAAAGGCAGCUUUCCAAGCCACAUCUGACGCUCAGGCACGAAAGCGUGGGUAGCGAACAGGAUUAGAUACCCUGGUAGUCCACGCAGUAAACGAUGAUCACUCGUUGUCGGCGAUAUACUGUCGGUGACUCAGCGAAAGNCGAUAAGUGAUCCACCUGGGGAGUACGUUCGCAAGAAUGAAACUCAAAGGAAUUGACGGG
This 899-nucleotide ribosomal RNA is filed under the name uncultured bacterium. Its description in RNAcentral is "bacterial SSU rRNA". It matches the Rfam family "Bacterial small subunit ribosomal RNA", at positions 28 to 917 of the family's 1533-position model. The record is from RNAcentral.